AAAACAUAAAGUACUAAUCUGUUACAAGCAUUCAGCUCAUUUAACAUUCAAUUUACAUUUUGACUCUCUUGCUUCCAAACACAACCAACUAUUACAAAUUAUUACAAUUUGGUUCUUUCUUUUCAUUUCCACCCCUAAGCUAGACCAACUCGGGAUACUGCUAUCUCUGGUCACAGUGGUAAGGCGCUAUCUACGGAACUACGCCAUUGCCUCGCGCCGCCGCGCCGCUCGCGUAUGGACCUAAAAUAUGUGGGGUGAAAACUAUGAUUCAU
Molecule: long non-coding RNA, 272 nt
Filed under: Ananas comosus (pineapple)
Lineage: Eukaryota; Viridiplantae; Streptophyta; Magnoliopsida; Poales; Bromeliaceae
Description: long non-coding RNA (ACOM_LNC022246)
Source: RNAcentral